AAUAAGAUGCCUGAAAUAAAAGGGUAAUUUUGAUAGAAUUAAACAUGUGAUUUAUCACUCUUAUUA
This 66-nucleotide transfer RNA is filed under the name Xuthea yunnanensis. Its description in RNAcentral is "tRNA-Ile". The record is from RNAcentral. Lineage: Eukaryota; Metazoa; Arthropoda; Insecta; Coleoptera; Chrysomelidae.